Molecule: ribosomal RNA, 490 nt
Filed under: uncultured bacterium
Lineage: Bacteria
Description: partial 16S ribosomal RNA
Rfam family: Bacterial small subunit ribosomal RNA
Source: RNAcentral
AUUGAACGCUGGCGGCAGGCCUAACACAUGCCAGUCGAACGGUAACAGGAAGAAGCUUGCUUCUUUGCUGACGAGUGGCGGACGGGUGAGUAAUGUCUGGGAAACUGCCUGAUGGAGGGGGAUAACUACUGGAAACGGUAGCUAAUACCGCAUAACGUCGCAAGACCAAAGAGGGGGACCUUCGUGCCUCUUGCCAUCGGAUGUGCCCAGAUGGGAUUAGCUAGUAGGUGGGGUAACGGCUCACCUAGGCGACGAUCCCUAGCUGGUCUGAGAGGAUGACCAGCCACACUGGAACUGAGACACGGUCCAGACUCCUACGGGAGGCAGCAGUGGGGAAUAUUGCACAAUGGGCGCAAGCCUGAUGCAGCCAUGCCGCGUGUAUGAAGAAGGCCUUCGGGUUGUAAAGUACUUUCAGCGGGGAGGAAGGGAGUAAAGUUAAUACCUUUGCUCAUUGACGCUACCCGCAGAAGAAGCACCGGCUAACUCCGUG